AUGGCUCAGUGAGGCGUUCGGACUGGCUCGGGGAGGUUGGCAACGACCACCCCAAGCCGGAAAGUUCGUCAAACUCGGUCAUUUAGAGGAAGUAAAAGUCGUAACAAGGUCUCCGUAGGUGAACCUGCGGAGGGAUCAUUACACAACAAAAUAUGAAGGCCUGGCUUCGCGGCCGGCUGAAAUAUUUUUUUCACCCAUGUCUUUUGCGCACUUGUUGUUUCCUGGGCGGGUUCGCCCGCCACCAGGACCAAACCAUAAACCUUUUUUUUAUGCAGUUGCAAUCAGCGUCAGUAAAAACAAUGUAAUUAUUACAACUUUCAACAACGGAUCUCUUGGUUCUGGCAUCGAUGAAGAACGCAGCGAAAUGCGAUACGUAGUGUGAAUUGCAGAAUUCAGUGAAUCAUCGAAUCUUUGAACGCACAUUGCGCCCUUUGGUAUUCCAAAGGGCAUGCCUGUUCGAGCGUCAUUUGUACCUUCAAGCUUUGCUUGGUGUUGGGCGUUUUUUGUCUCCCUCUUUCUGGGAGACUCGCCUUAAAACGAUUGGCAGCCGGCCUACUGGUUUCGGAGCGCAGCACAUAUUUUGCGCUUUGUAUCAGGAGAAAAGGACGGUAAUCCAUCAAGACUCUACAUUUUUAACUUUUGACCUCGGAUCAGGUAGGGAUACCCGCUGAACUU
RNAcentral lists this small RNA (675 nucleotides) under Bipolaris sorokiniana. RNAcentral's name for it is "eukaryotic LSU rRNA". The stretch from base 313 to 466 matches the Rfam family "5.8S ribosomal RNA". The record is from RNAcentral. Lineage: Eukaryota; Fungi; Ascomycota; Dothideomycetes; Pleosporales; Pleosporaceae.